This 246-nucleotide ribosomal RNA is filed under the name uncultured bacterium. Its description in RNAcentral is "partial 16S ribosomal RNA". It matches the Rfam family "Bacterial small subunit ribosomal RNA", at positions 527 to 772 of the family's 1533-position model. The record is from RNAcentral.
GUAGGGGGCAAGCGUUAUCCGGAAUUACUGGGUGUAAAGGGAGCGUAGACGGUUAAGUAAGUCUGGAGUGAAAGGCCGGGGCCCAACCCCGGGACUGCUCUGGAAACUAUUGAACUUGAGUGCAGGAGAGGUAAGCGGAAUUCCUAGUGUAGCGGUGAAAUGCGUAGAUAUUAGGAGGAACACCAGUGGCGAAGGCGGCUUACUGGACUGUAACUGACGUUGAGGCUCGAAAGCGUGGGGAGCAAA